Molecule: non-coding RNA, 908 nt
Organism: Malus domestica (apple)
Lineage: Eukaryota; Viridiplantae; Streptophyta; Magnoliopsida; Rosales; Rosaceae
Source: RefSeq, a predicted model, not a curated record
AUAUGGAUUAAAAAAAAAAUUGGGUUUUUCAUUUUUGUAUGGUUAGGAUGAAAUGGAUGGUGGGGAUUGAGUGGACCACCCACACCUAAAACUCCCUGUUCUCUCUCUCCCUCUCCCCGUAUCACUCUCUCUCUCCUCCCUCACGAUUCUUCCUCUCUCUCACCCACAUCGUACGGACGGCAACCAAAACCACCCAAAACUUCGUGGAUCGAAGCAAAUAAGGGAAUUCUAAGCUUAUAGUGAGCUUAGUGAGGUCCUAAGGAAGCUCGGGGACGUUCGUUUGGAAGUUUUGGACGUCGGGAUCAUCGAGUUCGACGUUGGCCGGUUUUGCUUGAAUUUUUCCGGCGGCGAUCGUCAUGACGCCUUGAUGUGUGGUGCUAGGGAGUUGUUGGACGAACUUCAGGUGAGUGGGCAGUUUUGUUUUCCGUAUAUAUAUAUAUAUACUUGACGUUUUCCCAGAAAUUGAAAUUGAAUGAAAGUAUACUUUAAAUGCAAUGUAUAAAUUAUAUGAAAAGUAUGUUUUCAAAUGCCAUGCGUAGAUUCAUAUGAAAAAUGUGAUUUGAAAUGCCAUGCAUAGAAAUGAUAUAAAAAGUAUAUAGAAAUGUGAAUCGAAUUGCCAUGCAUGAAAUGAUAUGAAAAGUAUGAAUUGAGAUAUGAUGCAUAUGUAUGAAUUGGUGCUGUGGACGCACAGGUGAGUAUCAGGUGAGUAUUUUUACUGCUAUGAUGAUGUUGAGAUAUAUUGAGCUCAUAACCUGCACCUUGGUAUUAGUGCUUAUUAUUAUGCACCGCAUCGCACGCUCACCUUGGAUCCAAGUAGAUGCUAGUCGUACAGACCACUAGAGGUGGUUCCGACAUGCCAGUUGUAUAGACCAUUAGAGGGGUUCCGACUGGUAGGUGACCUUAGAUUA